AGGACGAACGCUGGCGGCGUGCUUAACACAUGCAAGUCGAGCGGAAAGGCCCUUCGGGGUACUCGAGCGGCGAACGGGUGAGUAACACGUGAGCAACCUGCCCUUAGCUUCGGGAUAGCUCCGGGAAACCGGAAUUAAUACCGAAUAUGACUUUGGCUGACAUCAGCAGAAGUGGAAAGUUUUUCGGCUAGGGAUGGACUCGCGGCCUAUCAGCUAGUUGGUGAGGUAACGGCCCACCAAGGCGACGACGGGUAGCCGGCCUGAGAGGGCGACCGGCCACACUGGGACUGAGACACGGCCCAGACUCCUACGGGAGGCAGCAGUGGGGAAUAUUGCGCAAUGGGCGAAAGCCUGACGCAGCGACGCCGCGUGGGGGAUGAAUGCCGUUCGGGUUGUAAACCCCUUUCAGCAGGACGAAGCGAAAGUGACGGUACCUGCAGAAGAAGCGCCGGCUAACUACGUGCCAGCACGCCGC
Molecule: ribosomal RNA, 475 nt
Filed under: uncultured bacterium
Lineage: Bacteria
Description: SSU rRNA
Rfam family: Bacterial small subunit ribosomal RNA
Source: RNAcentral